RNAcentral lists this ribosomal RNA (460 nucleotides) under uncultured bacterium. Its description in RNAcentral is "partial 16S ribosomal RNA". It matches the Rfam family "Bacterial small subunit ribosomal RNA", at positions 338 to 795 of the family's 1533-position model. The record is from RNAcentral.
CCUACGGGAGGCAGCAGUGAGGAAUAUUGGUCAAUGGGCGAGAGUCUGAACCAGCCAUGCUGCGUGCAGGAUGACGGCUCUAUGAGUUGUAAACUGCUUUUAUACAGGGGUAAAGCUAGAUACGUGUUUUCUGCUGUAUGUACUAUACGAAUAAGCAUCGGCUAACUCCGUGCCAGCAGCCGCGGUAAUACGGAGGAUCCAAGCGUUAUCCGGAUUUAUUGGGUUUAAAGGGUGCGUAGGGGGUUUGAUAAGUUAGCGGUGAAAGGUUGGAGCUGAACCAGAAAAUUGCCGUUAAAACUGGUGAACUAGAGAAUAGAUGAGGUAGGCGGAAUGCAUGGUGUAGCGGUGAAAUGCAUAGAGAUCAUACAGAACACCGAUUGCGAAGGCAGCUUACCAAGCUAUAUCUGACAGUGAGGCACGAAAGCGUGGGGAGCAAACAGGAUUAGAUACCCUUGUAGUC